This 292-nucleotide ribosomal RNA is filed under the name uncultured bacterium. Its description in RNAcentral is "partial 16S ribosomal RNA". It matches the Rfam family "Bacterial small subunit ribosomal RNA", at positions 505 to 796 of the family's 1533-position model. The record is from RNAcentral.
GUGUCAGCAGCCGCGGUAAUACGGGGGGGGCAAGCGUUGUUCGGAAUUACUGGGCGUAAAGGGCGCGUAGGCGGCCUGCUAAGUCGGAUGUGAAAUCCCUCGGCUCAACCGGGGAACUGCAUCCGAUACUGGCGGGCUUGAAUCCGGGAGAGGGAUGUGGAAUUCCAGGUGUAGCGGUGAAAUGCGUAGAUAUCUGGAGGAACACCGGUGGCGAAGGCGGCAUCCUGGACCGGUAUUGACGCUGAGGCGCGAAAGCCAGGGGAGCAAACGGGAUUAGAAACCCCUGUAGUCC